AUAGUUUAAGGUAGGAUAGGAAUGGUUAAGGUAAGAUAGGAUAGGAUGUUGUAGGAUAAGAAUGUGUAGGAUAGGAAAAGAUAGGAUAGGAACGGCUGAGAUAUAAUAGAAUAGGAUAAGGUAGGAUAGGAAUGCCAAUUGUAAGAUAGAAUAGGAUGUGGUAGGAUUAGAAUCGGUAAGAUAGGAUGGAAUAGAAUAAGGUAGCUUAGGAACGGCUAAGAUAUGAUAGAAUAUGCUGGUUAGGAAAGAGUAAUUUAAGAUAGAAUAGUUUAAGGUAGGAUUAGAAUGACUAGGGCAAGAUAGAAUAGGAUGUGGUAGGAUAAGAAUGUGUAAGAUAGGAUAAGGUAGGUUAGGAACGGCUAAGGUAUGAUAUAAUCGGAUAAGAUAGGAACGGCUAAGAUAGCAUUUGGUAGGAUAGCAACGGGUAAGGUAAGAUAGAGUAGGAUGUGGUAGGAUAAGAAUAGCUAAGAUAUGAUAAUAUAGGAUAAGGUAGUAUAGGAACGGUUAAGAUAUGAGGGAAUAAGCUGGUUUGGAACGGCUAAUAUAAGAUAGAAUAAGAUAAGGUAGGAUAAAAAUGGCUAAGGUAUGAUAGAAUAGGAUGUGGUAGCAUAUGAACGGCUAAGAUAUUAUAGGAUAGGAUAAGGUAGGAUAGGAAUGGAUAAAGGUAAGAUAGAAUAGGACAAGGUAGCAUAGGAAUGGCUAUGAUAUGAUAGAAUAAGCUGGUUAGGAAAGAGUAAUAUAAAUAGAAUAGGAUAAGGUAGGAUAGGAAUGGUUAAGGUAAGAUAGGAUAGGAUGUGGUAGGAUAAGAAUGUGUAGGAUAGGAUAAGAUAGGAUAGGAACGGCUAAGAUAUAAUAGAAUAGGAUAAGGUAGGAUAGGAAUGCCAAUUUUAAGAUAGAAUAGGAUGUGGUAGGAUUAGAAAGGGUAAGAUCGGAUGGAAUAGAAUAAGGUAGCAUAUGAACGGCUAAGAUAUGAUAGAAUAAGCUGGUUAGGAAAGAGUAAUAUGAGAUAGAAUAGGAUAAGGUAGGAUUGGAAUGGCUAAUAUAAGAUAGAAUAAGAUAAGGUAGGAUAAAAAUGGCUAAGGUAUGAUAGAAUAGGCCAAGAUAGGAUAGGAAAGGUUAAGGUAAGAUAGGAUAGGAUGUGGUAGGAUAAGAAUGGGUAAGAUAGGAUGGAAUAGGAUAAGGUAGGAAAGGAACGGGUAAGAUAUGAUAGUAUAGGCUAAGGUAGGAUAGAAAUGGUUAAGGUAAGAUAGAAUAGGAUGUGGUAGCAUAGGAACGGCUAAGAUAUGAUAGAAUAAGCUGGUUAGGAAAGAGUAAUAUGAGAUAGAAUAGUAUAACGUGGGAUUGGAAUGACUAGGUCAAGAUAGAAUAGGAUGUGGUAGGUUAAGAAUGUGUAAGAUAGGAUAAGGUAGGUUAGGAAUGGCUAAGGUAUGAUAUAAUGGGAUUAGAUAGGAACGGCUAAGAUAGCAUUUGGUAGGAUAGCAACGGGUAAGGUAAGAUAGAGUAGGUUGUGGUAGGAUAAGAAUGGCUAAGAUAUGAUAAUAUAGGAUAAGGUAGUAUAGGAACGGCUAAGAUAUGAGGGAAUAAGCUGGUUUGGAAUGGCUAAUAUAAGACAGAAUAAGAUAAGGUAGGAUAGGAAUGGCUAAGGUAUGAUAGAAUAGGAUGUGGUAGCAUAUGAACGGCUAAGAUAUUACAGGAUAGGACAAGGUAGGAUAGGAAUGGAUAAAGGUAAGAUAGAAUAGGACAAGGUAGCAUAGGAAUGGCUAUGAUAUGAUAGAAUAAGCUGGUUAGGAAAGAGUAAUAUAAAUAGAAUAGGAUAAGGUAGGAUAGGAAUGGUUAAGGUAAGAUAGGAUAGGAUGUGGUAGGAUAAGAAUGUGUAGGAUAGGAUAAGAUAGGAUAGGAACGGCUAAGAUAUAAUAGAAUAGGAUAAGGUAGGAUAGGAAUGCCAAUUGUAAGAUAGAAUAGGAUGUGGUAGGAUUAGAAUGGGUAAGAUAGGAUGGAAUAGGGUGAGGUAGGAAAGGAACGUGUAAGAUAUGGUAGAAUAUGCUAAGGUAGGAUAGGAAUGGUUAAGGUAAGAUAGGAUAGGAUGAGGUAGUAUAAGAAUGUGUAGGAUAGGAUAAGAUAGGAUAGGAACGGCUAAGAUAUAAAAGAAUAGGAUAAGGUAGGAUAGGAAUGCCAGUUGUAAGAUAGAAUAGCAUGUGGUAGGAUUAGAAAGGGUAAGAUCGGAUGGAAUAGAAUAAGGUAGCAUAUGAACGGCUAAGAUAUGAUAGAAUAGAAUAAGGUAGGAUAGCAAUGGCUAAAGGUAAGAUAGAAUUGGAUAAGGUAGCAUAGGAACGGCUAAGAUAUGAUAGAAUAAGCUGGUUUGGAAUGGCUAAUAUAAGACAGAAUAAGAUAAGGUAGGAUAGGAAUGGCUUAAGGUAUGAUAGAAUAGCAUGUGGUAACAUAUGAACGGCUAAGAUAGUACAGGAUAGGACAAGGUAGGAUAGGAAUGGAUAAACGUAAGAUAGAAUAGGAGAAGGUAGCAUAGGAAUGGCUAAGGUAAGAUAGAAUAGGAUAAGGUAGCAUAGGAACGGCUAAGAUAUGAUAGAAUAAGCUGGUUAGGAAAGAGUAAUAUGAGAUAGAAUAGUAUAAGGUAGGAUUGGAAUGACUAGGGCAAGAUAGAAUAGGAUGUGGUAGGAUAAGAAUGUGUAAGAUAGGAUAAGGUAGGUUAGGAACGGCUAAGGUAUGAUAUAAUCGGAUUAGAUAGGAACGGCUAAGAUAGCAUUAGGUACGAUAGCAACGGGUAAGCUAACAUAGAAUAGUAUUUGCUAGGAUGAAAAUGGCAAAGACAUGAUAGGAUAAGGUAGUAUAGGAAUGGCUAAUAUGAGAUAGAAUAAGAUAAGGUAGGAUAAAAAUGGCUAAGGUAUGAUAGAAUAGGCCAAGAUAGGAUAGGAAUGGCUAAGGUAAGAUAGAAUAGGAUGUGGUAGGAUUAGAAUGGGUAAGGUAGGAUGGAAUAGAAUAAGGUAGCAUAUGAAUAGCUAAGAUAUGAUAGAAUAGAAUAAGGUAGGAUAGCAAUGGGUAAGCUAAGAUAGAAUAGGAUGUGGUAGGAUGAAAAUGGCAAAGAUAUGAUAGGAUAAGGUAGUAUAGGAACGGCUAAUAUAAGAUAGAAUAAGAUAAGGUAGGAUAAAAAUGGCUAAGGUAUUAUAGAAUAGGCCAAGAUAGGAUAGGAAUGGCUAAGGGAUAAUAGAAUAGUUUAAGGUAGGAUAGGAAUGGUUAAGGUAAGAUAGGAUAGGAUGUUGUAGGAUAAGAAUGUGUAGGAUAGGAAAAGAUAGGAUAGGAACGGCUGAGAUAUAAUAGAAUAGGAUAAGGUAGGAUAGGAAUGCCAAUUGUAAGAUAGAAUAGGAUGUGGUAGGAUUAGAAUCGGUAAGAUAGGAUGGAAUAGAAUAAGGUAGCUUAGGAACGGCUAAGAUAUGAUAGAAUAUGCUGGUUAGGAAAGAGUAAUUUAAGAUAGAAUAGUUUAAGGUAGGAUUGGAAUGACUAGGGCAAGAUAGAAUAGGAUGUGGUAGGAUAAGAAUGUGUAAGAUAGGAUAAGGUAGGUUAGGAACGGCUAAGGUAUGAUAUAAUCGGAUAAGAUAGGAACGGCUAAGAUAGCAUUUGGUAGGAUAGCAACGGGUAAGGUAAGAUAGAGUAGGAUGUGGUAGGAUAAGAAUAGCUAAGAUAUGAUAAUAUAGGAUAAGGUAGUAUAGGAACGGUUAAGAUAUGAGGGAAUAAGCUGGUUUGGAACGGCUAAUAUAAGACAGAAUAAGAUAAGGUAGGAUAAAAAUGGCUAAGGUAUGAUAGAAUAGGAUGUGGUAGCAUAUGAACGGCUAAGAUAUUAUAGGAUAGGAUAAGGUAGGAUAGGAAUGGAUAAAGGUAAGAUAGAAUAGGACAAGGUAGCAUAGGAAUGGCUAUGAUAUGAUAGAAUAAGCUGGUUAGGAAAGAGUAAUAUGAAUAGAAUAGGAUAAGGUAGGAUAGGAAUGGUUAAGGUAAGAUAGGAUAGGAUGUGGUAGGAUAAGAAUGUGUAGGAUAGGAUAAGAUAGGAUAGGAACGGCUAAGAUAUAAUAGAAAAGGAUAAGGUAGGAUAGGAAUGCCAAUUGUAAGAUAGAAUAGGAUGUGGUAGGAUUAGAAAGGGUAAGAUCGUAUGGAAUAGAAUAAGGUAGCAUAUGAACGGCUAAGAUAUGAUAGAAUAAGCUGGUUAGGAAAGAGUAAUAUGAGAUAGAAUAGGAUAAGGUAGGAUUGGAAUGGCUAAUAUAAGAUAGAAUAAGAUAAGGUAGGAUAAAAAUGGUUAAGGUAUGAUAGAAUAGGAUAAGGUAGGAUAGGAAUGGUUAAGGUAAGAUAGGAUAGGAUGUGUGUAAGAUAAGAAUGUGUAGGAUAGGAUAAGAUAGGAUAGGAACGGCUAAGAUAUAAUAGAAUAGGAUAAGGUAGGAUAGGAAUGGUUAAGGUAAGAUAGGAUAGGAUGUGGUAGGAUAAGAAUGUGUAGGAUAGGAUAAGAUAGGAUAGGAACGGCUAAGAUAUAAUAGAAUAGGAUAAGGUAUGAUAGGAAUGCCAAUUGUAAGAUUGAAUAGGAUGUGGUAGGAUUAGAAUGGGUAAGAUAGGAUGGAAUAGGAUGAGGUAGGAAAGGAACGUGUAAGAUAUGGUAGAAUAUGCUAAGGUAGGAUAGGAAUGGUUAAGGUAAGAUAGGAUAGGAUGAGGUAGUAUAAGAAUGUGUAGGAUAGGAUAAGAUAGGAUAGGAACGGCUAAGAUAUAAAAGAAUAGGAUAAGGUAGGAUAGGAAUGCCAGUUGUAAGAUAGAAUAGCAUGUGGUAGGAUUAGAAAGGGUAAGAUCGGAUGGAAUAGAAUAAGGUAGCAUAUGAACGGCUAAGAUAUGAUAGAAUAGAAUAAGGUAGGAUAGCAAUGGCUAAAGGUAAGAUAGAAUUGGAUAAGGUAGCAUAGGAACGGCUAAGAUAUGAUAGAAUAAGCUGGUUUGGAAUGGCUAAUAUAAGACAGAAUAAGAUAAGGUAGGAUAGGAAUGGCUUAAGGUAUGAUAGAAUAGCAUGUGGUAACAUAUGAACGGCUAAGAUAGUACAGGAUAGGACAAGGUAGGAUAGGAAUGGAUAAACGUAAGAUAGAAUAGGAGAAGGUAGCAUAGGAAUGGCUAAGGUAAGAUAGAAUAGGAUAAGGUAGCAUAGGAACGGCUAAGAUAUGAUAGAAUAAGCUGGUUAGGAAAGAGUAAUAUGAGAUAGAAUAGUAUAAGGUAGGAUUGGAAUGACUAGGGCAAGAUAGAAUAGGAUGUGGUAGGAUAAGAAUGUGUAAGAUAGGAUGGAAUAGAAAAAGUUAGCAUAUGAACUGAAGUUGAUGAUGUGCAUUACUACUAAUCCUGCUGACCUUUCUCUCCUGCAGACAGGGGCAACGCCGGAGGAAAAAGGACACUGGAAACGGAAAGCUGGAGUGUUGGGGAGUGAUGGGGACUGGAGGGAACAAACAACUAACCUUCCUUUCCUCCCAAAGUCUGCCUUUCCAGGACUGGCAAAGGUGGCCCAUGGAUUGGACCAUGCCUCACGCGAUGCAAUGGUUCAGUUGGUCCAGAGACACUGGGCCGCCCCUUCAUUCACGGCUUAUGCUCAAACUUUCGUUUCCAGGUGUUCCACAUGAAUGACUCACAACAUGGGUCGUGCAUUGAAGCCACCAACUGCCACAACUCCUCCAGCUGAGGGUCCUUUCCAACAUUUGCAGAUGGAUUUCAUAGAACUAACACCCUGUAGAGGUUAUCGUUAUUGUCUGGUGGUUGUUGAUCUCUUUUCCAGAUGGGUGGAAGCCUUCCCGGCCAAGCAAGCAACGGCCCAGAUAGUUGCGAAAAAUCUGUUAAAAGAGAUAACCCCACGAUGGGGUGUUCCAGCCCGCAUUACCACUGACAAUGCUACACAUUUCUCUAAUCAGGUGGUCCACAAGCUCUCUGAGUGGUUCCAAACCGACCUUCGACACUACUGCGCUUAUCACCCGCAGAGUGGAGGGAUUGUUGAAAGAGCAAACCAGACACUGAUAGAAAAUUCUUGAUUAUGCUAAUCAGUGAUCAAUAAUGAAAUAUAGAUGUUAUGCAAAAUGCAUUACCUAAUCAGUAAUUAACAAUUAAGUUUAUAAUUGUGUUGUUGAUUUACACAUAGUGGUUGAAACAAUGUAAUUUACUUGUCAUUAAUUGUUUGAAUGUAUCAAACAAUAAUGCAAAUCUGCAGAGAUCAAAGGGGCUCCACUCCAACAACUGCUGCAAACGCCGCGGCUCCCUGAGUGCCAUCACCCGUCAGCUCAUCAGUCUCUGCAACCAACUGCCAAGACCCCCCCCCCACUCUGCAAACAAGUAAACCAACUUCCUUUUAUUCUAACAACCUAAGCUGUUUUUAACCUGCUAUAUGACGUUAGGGUCGUGUUCACACAAACUGUGCUUGCUUUGCAGAACAGUAUUUCCCUUUUAAGGUUACUCAUUUAAAUCUGGUCAUUGCAUUUCCAUAAUUACACUGUUUGUUUCUAUUCCGUUAUUUCGUGUUUGUUGUUA
Brienomyrus brachyistius is the source of this 6540-nucleotide long non-coding RNA. RefSeq lists it as uncharacterized. The record is from RefSeq and is a predicted model, not a curated record. NCBI's taxonomy places the organism in Eukaryota, Metazoa, Chordata, Actinopteri, Osteoglossiformes, Mormyridae. The transcript has 4 exons.